AUGAAGUGUUUGGGAGAACUC
Molecule: microRNA, 21 nt
Filed under: Glycine max (soybean)
Lineage: Eukaryota; Viridiplantae; Streptophyta; Magnoliopsida; Fabales; Fabaceae
Description: gma-miR395h
Gene: gma-miR395h
Source: miRBase by way of RNAcentral